UCUUCCCUCUGGCGGCGUGCCUAAUACAUGCAAGUCGAGCGAACAGACGAGGAGCUUGCUCCUCUGACGUUAGCGGCGGACGGGUGAGUAACACGUGGAUAACCUACCUAUAAGACUGGGAUAACUUCGGGAAACCGGAGCUAAUACCGGAUAAUAUAUUGAACCGCAUGGUUCAAUAGUGAAAGACGGUUUUGCUGUCACUUAUAGAUGGAUCCGCGCCGCAUUAGCUAGUUGGUAAGGUAACGGCUUACCAAGGCAACGAUGCGUAGCCGACCUGAGAGGGUGAUCGGCCACACUGGAACUGAGACACGGUCCAGACUCCUACGGGAGGCAGCAGUAGGGAAUCUUACGCAAUGGGCGAAAGCCUGACGGAGCAACGCCGCGUGAGUGAUGAAGGUCUUCGGAUCGUAAAACUCUGUUAUUAGGGAAGAACAAAUGUGUAAGUAACUAUGCACGUCUUGACGGUACCUAAUCAGAAAGCCACGGCUAACUACGUG
RNAcentral lists this ribosomal RNA (497 nucleotides) under uncultured bacterium. Its description in RNAcentral is "partial 16S ribosomal RNA". It matches the Rfam family "Bacterial small subunit ribosomal RNA", at positions 36 to 507 of the family's 1533-position model. The record is from RNAcentral.